AAGUCGUAACAAGGUUUCCGUAGGUGAACCUGCGGAAGGAUCAUUACAAGUGAGGCUACCGAACGUUGGAAACAGCGGUUAGGAGCUUACACCCACCCGUGUUUACAUACUAUUGUUGCUUUGGCGGGCCGUGGCCUCCACUGCGGGCUCUGCUCGUGUGUGCCCGCCAGAGAACCAAACUCUGAAUGUUAGUGAUGUCUGAGUACUAUCUAAUAGUUAAAACUUUCAACAACGGAUCUCUUGGUUCUGGCAUCGAUGAAGAACGCAGCGAAAUGCGAUAAGUAAUGUGAAUUGCAGAAUUCAGUGAAUCAUCGAAUCUUUGAACGCACAUUGCGCCCUGUGGUAUUCCGCAGGGCAUGCCUGUUCGAGCGUCAUUAUAACCACUCAAGCCUGGCUUGGUAUUGGGGUUUUCGCGUGUUCGCGGCCCUUAAAAUCAGUGGCGGUGCCGUCUGGCUCUAAGCGUAGUAAUUUCUCUCGCUAUAGGGUUCCGGUGGUUACUUGCCAAAACCCCCCGUCUUUUCUAGGUUGACCUCGGAUCAGGUAGGGAUACCCGCUGAACUUAA
RNAcentral lists this ribosomal RNA (563 nucleotides) under uncultured Phialocephala. RNAcentral's name for it is "eukaryotic LSU rRNA". The stretch from base 221 to 374 matches the Rfam family "5.8S ribosomal RNA". The record is from RNAcentral. Lineage: Eukaryota; Fungi; Ascomycota; Leotiomycetes; Helotiales.